GGAUGUGAGGGCGAUCUGGCUGUGACAUCUGUCACCCCAUUGAUUGCCAGGGUUGAUUCAGCUGAUCUGGCUGGCUAGGCAGGUGUCCCCUUCCUCCCUCACUGCUCCAUGUGCAUCCCUCCUGAAGCUGCGCGCUUGGUUGAAGAGGACAACCAACCCCGAUAGAGGAGGACUGUUCUUCGGUCAAGGGUAUAGGAGUAGCUGUGCUCCCCUGCUAGAACCUCCAAACAAACUCUCAAAGAUCCUGAUUGAAGACAAGCUGUUCU
RNAcentral lists this small nuclear RNA (266 nucleotides) under Castor canadensis (American beaver). RNAcentral's name for it is "7SK RNA (ENSCCNG00000029702.1)". It matches the Rfam family "7SK RNA", at positions 1 to 279 of the family's 331-position model. Rfam says of the family: 7SK was discovered as an abundant small nuclear RNA in the mid-70s but a possible function has only recently been suggested. Two independent studies have found that 7SK RNA binds the CDK9/cyclin T complex (known as elongation factor P-TEFb). Lineage: Eukaryota; Metazoa; Chordata; Mammalia; Rodentia; Castoridae. The record is from RNAcentral.